RNAcentral lists this ribosomal RNA (465 nucleotides) under uncultured bacterium. RNAcentral describes it as "partial 16S ribosomal RNA". It matches the Rfam family "Bacterial small subunit ribosomal RNA", at positions 28 to 507 of the family's 1533-position model. The record is from RNAcentral.
GACGAACGCUGGCGGCGUGCUUAACACAUGCAAGUCGAACGGAAAGGCCCUGCUUGCAGGGUACUCGAGUGGCGAACGGGUGAGUAACACGUGGGUGAUCUGCCCUGCACUUCGGGAUAAGCCUGGGAAACUGGGUCUAAUACCGGAUAGGAGCCAUUUUUAGUGUGAUGGUUGGAAAGUUUUUUCGGUGUAGGAUGAGCUCGCGGCCUAUCAGCUUGUUGGUGGGGUAAUGGCCUACCAAGGCGGCGACGGGUAGCCGGCCUGGGAGGGUGGACGGCCACAUUGGGACUUGGAUACGGCCCAGACUCCUACGGGAGGCAGCAGGGGGGAAUAUUGCACAAUGGGCGCAAGCCUUAUGCAGCGACGCCGCGUGGGGGAUGACGGCCUUCGGGUUGGAAACUCCUUUCGCUAGGGACGAAGCUUUUUGUGACGGUACCUAGAUAAGAAGCACCGGCUAACUACGUG